Molecule: long non-coding RNA, 839 nt
Organism: Oncorhynchus tshawytscha (Chinook salmon)
Lineage: Eukaryota; Metazoa; Chordata; Actinopteri; Salmoniformes; Salmonidae
Source: Ensembl
UGGCUGAGGACUUUGCUGUGUGAACACAAAAGAGAUUGACUGCCAACACUCAGAGGUGCUAAGUAUUGUUGACAGUUCAGCAGUAAGUUAAAGUAUGUGAACAGCCCGGCGGAGCUACAAGAUAUAAUUCCAUUGGAGUAUGUGAACAUCCCUGAGAGCAUUAUCAAAGUUGAUAAAAGAAUAAACCCUGUGGUGUUUGAUCAUUCCUUGAUGACAGGCUACCCGUUUGGCCAUAUGACGCUGUGGUCAAGAGUAGACACUCGUCCUGCCUGCACACACCUGUGGUGAAGAGGAAAGGCUAUUCUACCAUACCUUAUUACUCUGCCAUGCAAGACAGAGGCACAGCAGGAAUCCAGGCAGUGUUAAACACAUAUUUUGGGACAUAUUGGAGAUUAUGAGAGUUUUUGUAAGCAAACAUGUUUUUCGAAAUGUAAUCCAUUGUUUAAAACCUGUCACACUCAAUUACUAUGUUAUUUUCCAGGAUCAUAAGGUUGUCUCCACAUACAGUACAGUUAGGGGCAUUAAAAAGGUACCUCUUCUAAAUGAUUUUGCUGUAGCACUACAUCAUUAAUGUGACACACUCGCAGGGUGACUGCAAGCUCCAAUUUUAUUAGCAAUCAUCUACCAAUAACCCAUGUAAUGAAAUACGUUUCUCAAAUAUGCCUCUGACAAUGCAGUUCUAUCAUUGUUUUUCUUGCUCUGCAGUACAGGUUAAUUUUAGGAUGCCCGCAACUGUACAAGUACAUACACUUGCAGUGCGUGCAUGCGUGUGUGUUUGUGUGACUCAAGUUGGCCACUGUGCAUUCACGUACUGUACAUUUACAUAUGUAAAAGUAAAU